CUUAACGGUAAAAUUGCCCCCGAUACUGGGUGUCUUGAAUCUGACAGAGGUCGGUGGAAUUCGUGGUGUAGCGGUGAAAUGCAUAGAUAUCACGAAGAACAUCAGUGGCGAAGGCGGCCGGCUGGGUCAGUAUUGACGCUGAGGCACGAGAGCGUGGGGAGCGAACAGGAUUAGAUACCCUGGUAGUCCACGCUGUAAACGAUGUAUGCUAGUUGUGGGGCUUUCGGGCUCUGUGACGCAGUUAACGCAGUAAGCAUACCACCUGGGGAGUACGUUCGCAAGAAUGAAACUCAAAGGAAUUGACGGGGGCCCGCACAAGCGGUGGAGCAUGUGGCUUAACUCGAUGCAACGCGAAGAACCUUACCCGGGCUAAAUCUCGGACGACCGGUCCCGAAACGGACCUUCCCUUCGGGGCGU
This 417-nucleotide ribosomal RNA is filed under the name uncultured Bacteroidota bacterium. RNAcentral describes it as "bacterial SSU rRNA". It matches the Rfam family "Bacterial small subunit ribosomal RNA", at positions 608 to 1029 of the family's 1533-position model. Lineage: Bacteria; Pseudomonadati; Bacteroidota. The record is from RNAcentral.